GAUGAAGAACGCAGCGAAAUGCGAUAAUUAAUGUGAAUUGCAGAAUUCCGUGAAUCAUCGAGUCUUUGAACGCACAUUGCGCCUCAUGGCAUUCCGUGAGGCAUGCCCAUCUCAGCGUUAGAAAAUAUUCUCAAAUUUUAGUUUUGUGCUAAAAUUUGGAUCAUGUCAAGGAAGCUAUUACUAUUAUUGUGAUCGCUCUUUGGAAAUUGAUAGGUCUUUGAGUUGCUACUCAUAGAACGUGAUGAAUCUUUCUUCGUUCUAUUGUAAUUCACUCUGGUAGUCCUAAAACUUGUAUGCCUGUGGCAUAUCUUGUAAUUUGACCUGAGAUUGGGUAGGGAUACCCGCUGAACUUAAGCAUAUCAAUAAGCGGAGGA
Molecule: unclassified non-coding RNA, 374 nt
Filed under: soil metagenome
Description: partial contains internal transcribed spacer 2 and large subunit ribosomal RNA
Rfam family: 5.8S ribosomal RNA (bases 1-120)
Source: RNAcentral